RNAcentral lists this long non-coding RNA (3833 nucleotides) under Pan troglodytes (chimpanzee). Its description in RNAcentral is "bidirectional promoter lncRNA". Lineage: Eukaryota; Metazoa; Chordata; Mammalia; Primates; Hominidae. The record is from RNAcentral.
UUCCCACCCCUGCUUUGCUAUUUUUGUACCUCCGUGACAGAAAAACAAAACCCUGAGGAAAAGUCAGGCGACUUCAUUCCCUGCCGUCCGCGCCGGGGCCUCGACUACUGCUGGCGUCCGCGGCUUUCGCCCACCGCUCCACAGGUGGAUAAAACCUCGUAUGCAUCAACUACCUCUCUUUCAAGAUGGAAUUUUCAGAACACAUGGUCUGGGAUUGGAGCUGGAGCUUGGAAAUAUUGAGUGGGUGAGAAAGACUUCAUUGUUUUGUGACAGAUUAUUGUGAAAACAGCCCACUUCUGCCUGAAGAUCCAAGCCCAAGGCCUUCCUGGCCCCAGGGAUUUUGGGAUUCUUAAGAGCAAAAGAAGGAAAGAAAACAUGAGAGACUUUGGUACUGGGUACAAGCAUGAAAAGAGAAGGAUUGGUAAAAAAUAUCUCUUGGGAGCUCCUGCUGUGAUGCGAGGGUUAGUCCUGCCAUCCCAGGGCAAACUUCAUAAAAGAGGUCAGAUCCAAAGAUUGCAGAAGCCAGAAGAGACACUGCAUCCUUCCUGGUUAGGCCUGGUUAUGCCAGCUUCCUGGACUCUGCUGGCUGGUUGCCUCAAUCCAUGCCUCAGAUUGGGUGGAGUCUACAGAUUGAGGGCAAAUCCCACCUCCUCCCAACCCCCACCACUAGGCCUAUCUGCAAGACAGAAAAGAGCAGCAAGAAAUCUCAGGGAUUUUCUUUGAUUACUCAGAGGGAAAUAGUUUUCAUACUCAGAGACUGAUAGGCAGUCAAUAACAUUUGCUUUGUGAAUUUUCACCCAGCUACUUCUGGAUGAGAUAAUCACCUUUGCUGCUAAAGAAAAUCUUAGCUCAUUUUCUUCUUGGGGUGAUGCUAUAAGAGUUGAUAAACAAUUUAUAAGUAUUUAUCAUCUGGCAUAUUUAACAAAAUAUCUUUGUGAUCCAUAAAGCAAGGCAUAAAUUACAUUUGAAAGUGCAUUCCAUUAAACAAGAACAUUAGAGAGAAAGAGAGAGAGAGAGACACUUUGGACCUUGAUCUGUUCCAAUGACAUAGAAACUUGCUUUACAGAUUGGCUUUCUCCUAGUGCACUAUUGCAAAAUUAGAGCUAUACUAGAAACAUCCUUAGAGUUUGAUAAUUGAAUUACAGUGGGGAAAAAUAAGGUUUAUAUUUCUUAACUAUACCUUUGAAUUUCUUACUACUACAGAGGAUAAUUUUCCUGGUCCCUGGGGUUAGUGGUGAAAAACUCAUUGUUUUAUUAAAUUCAUGCCUCAUUCUUGUGACCCCAGAUUUUCGAAUUUGAAUAGGAAUGCAGUCAAGGGGUGAAUUCUGACAUCUUCAUUCUUUACUUAGCUCUUAAAAGCCAAGAUACUUUAUACUACUUGUUUAUACUAAUCUUUGAUCACAAUAUAUUUACAUUGCUGGCAAGUAAAGUCUCUUAAUAAAAUAGCAGCAAAUAUUAGCUCUUCAUUCAAAAUUGUUAUUAUUCGGGAGUACUAUACAUGGUCUCUUACAUUAGGAUUUAUGAAAGUAGGAAUUAAUUAUGUUUAUUUAAUUCAAACAAGUGUUUUUCUCAAAGUAAUGAGUGUUAUGAAGGGAGCUUAUUUGACCACAUACAACCCUGAGAUUCUUAUCUUUUUGGCAAAUAGCACUAACUGUGGAAAAGCUUAAGAUUAGUGGGGUUGUCUGUUUCCCCACACGUUGAGUUGAUGAUAGGUUAUAAUAAAAAUAUCAGACCAAAUUCUGCCACUUAUAUAGGCAUGUAUUAAACAUGUAUUUGUAAGCAAGUAUACAACAGUUGAUAGAACAAGAUAAAAACCUAGCUCUCUGUCCUCUUUAGUGCUCUAAUGACUUCAAGCUGGCUCAACAAUAUUCCAGAGGCAAGAUUCUAUUACUCUUAUAGUUAGCAUCGGAAAUCCAAUGGAUGGACACUGGAUUCUUUGAGGAUCAAGCUUGAGGUGCCAAGCAUGGGAUGCAUUUCUGAAAUAUUUGAGUUUAAUCGUAUAUCUUGAAUACCACUUAUUAUUCCAGUGAGAUCUGAUGGAUGAUUAACUUAUUGAACAAGUCACUAAUUUUACCAAUGAAAAUAUAUUUCUGAUAUUUACUUUGCUAAUUAGCAAGACAUCUGGGUUUGGUAUACACAUCUGGUGAGAGAUGAAGGGCAGAAAUUGAGGCACAGAAACAAUAAGUGGUUUCCCUUAAGAUCAGAUAGCUAGUAAGUGUCUCAGCUUGUUUGUGCAUCCCACAGUGAGGAGCCUGUGUUUUUUUAAAUCUCUCUGGAUUAGUUGUGCUGGUAAGUUCUCUAGAAGCAACUUGACUCCACUGUUUUGAGGGCAGAAAUAAAAUGAACAGGCUAUAAUUGAGGUUGUAGAAGAGAUAAAAGAAAAUCUGUGAUGCAAGUAACUACACAGAGUCCUGUCUGUGAAAUGCAGGAGGCUGUCCAUAACUAAAGGCAUCUACCUUUAGAAAGGCAGUAUCAGAUUGUCACUUAUCUUGAUGGUCAUGAGAUAGGGAUGUUCUGGUUAAUAAAAUAUUCUAGUUAGUAGAGAUUCUCAGUAGACUCUAUACUCUAAUUUCUCAUUUAAAAGAAAUUGGACUGUUACAAAAUAAACAUGACAUGAACCCAGAAUUUAACUUACUAUUUUCUUACUGUUAUCCCAAAGACAUUACAUGAUAUUGAACACUUUGAGGUAAUUAUGGUACUGGGGGAGCAUAAUUGUUCCUACUAAUAGAAACAAAAUACUAAGGAUUUUUCUAGAAACUCUCCUUUCAAAAGCCAUUUACCUGGCUAAGGAUUUUUCUAGAAACUGUCCUUUCAAGAGCCAUUUACCUGGAAUAAAAGUGAUGUGUAUGAUAAACAGUUGGCUAUACAGACCCAAGAUGAAAUUCAAAAUAUGACUUCUGAAAAUUCUGAAUUCAAAAUCAAGUUUUUGAUACUUUAGGAUCAGCUAGAUGAUCAUCAUAAAUUUGUCUCCUUUCCACUUCAAUUUUUUUUCAUCUUCACCAAUCUACACUAUAUUCAAGCCAACUUACCAUUUCCCUUACUCCGUUUUCCCUGCAACUUCCCUAAGCUGUUAGUGUUAUUGUACUACUCUUCUUUAUGCCACUUAGGCUUGAAUUCUUGGCCCAAUUUCUUUCACUUCUGCAUGAAGUCACCAAAUGCCAGUGAUUCUGCUUCUAACAUAUUUCAGACAUCAUUUCUGUCCAUUCCCACUACCAGAAAGAAACUCUGUAUUAGUUUUUCUUUUACCUUUAUUGACCUUUUAUAAUAGCAUUUAUGGUGUGUUGAAUUGUGGACCCCCAAAAAUAUGUCCAAGUCUUAACCCUGGUGCCCAUAAAUGUGACCUUAUUUGGGAAAAGAGUCUCACAGAUGAAAUUAAGUUAAAGAUCUUACCCUGGAUUAACCAGGUAGAUGCUAAAUCGAAUAAAAAAGUGUCUGUACAGGAAGAGAAGAGGAAAAUCACAGAGAAGAAAGCCAUGUGAAGAUGGUAACAGACACUGGAGUCUGUAACCCCAAGUGUAAAGCGACGGGUUCUCCACCAGGUUACUUAAGGGUGUAUGUCCACUGCUUGAGCCCUGAAGACUGGGUGGUGAGCCAAGGUCUUAGUGCUCAGCCAAGGAACACCAUGUGCUGUGUUCCCUGAGAACACAAACAUUUGGGAGAGUACCUGGGGACAUACCAAGAAAAACACUCAUCACACACAGAGAAGAAAAGCCAGAAAAUUAGCUUAAAAGCAGCUUGAAGAUGGGUGGGGUAAGGGGGUGUGUGGGGCAAAUCUCCAGAGUUGUCCUGCUACCACCUAGGAAUGCCCUGUAUGUUAAGUCCUAAUAAACUCA